CUUAAUACAGAAUCGAAUGCUUCAAUUCCAUAUGGCG
RNAcentral lists this non-coding RNA (37 nucleotides) under Plasmodium falciparum 3D7. Lineage: Eukaryota; Apicomplexa; Aconoidasida; Haemosporida; Plasmodiidae. The record is from RNAcentral.